CAGAAUUCUAUAAACCUGAAGAGUAAUCUUUUAGAAAAAUCAUCAGAAGGAAGGAAUUUGUAGAAAUAAAACUGGAAACAUUCAGAAUCUUAAUGGUGUGCCAAACCUAAUGUCAACUGUAGCUCGACCAAAAACUAAGGAGUCAGGUGCUGCUCUGCAUGGCUGGUUUCUAUUUUUGCAUCACGCAGGAAGAUCUUUGUAACACGUCGCUGAAGACAGAUCCCUGCCUCUGUGACUAUAGAGUGAGGUGCUCUCUGACAAACAAAGCAAAGAGAGAGCAGGUAAGUCUCUUUGAUGAAGUCUGUUUUACUAUUUAUCUAUAAAAGUUGUUUGAAGAGCCUUGCCUAGUCACUAUAAAUUUAAGCAUGCCACAAGUCUUGCUGAAUAAUUGAUAGUCACAGUAUGAUGUUAAAUUAGAGUAUAUUCUACGUCUUGAAAACUGGAUCAGUCCACUCAGUUUUUCCCUGGUACUCGUGCAGCCAUAUUGUGGGUUUAAUUCCUGU
This is a long non-coding RNA of Orcinus orca (killer whale), 503 nucleotides long. RefSeq lists it as uncharacterized. Lineage: Eukaryota; Metazoa; Chordata; Mammalia; Artiodactyla; Delphinidae. The record is from RefSeq and is a predicted model, not a curated record. The transcript has 3 exons.